UAAUUUGAGAGUUUGAUCCUGGCUCAGGACGAACGCUGGCGGCGUGCCUAAUACAUGCAAGUCGAACGAACUCUGGUAUUGAUUGGUGCUUGCAUCAUGAUUUACAUUUGAGUGAGUGGCGAACUGGUGAGUAACACGUGGGAAACCUGCCCAGAAGCGGGGGAUAACACCUGGAAACAGAUGCUAAUACCGCAUAACAACUUGGACCGCAUGGUCCGAGUUUGAAAGAUGGCUUCGGCUAUCACUUCUGGAUGGUCCCGCGGCGUAUUAGCUAGAUGGUGAGGUAACGGCUCACCAUGGCAAUGAUACGUAGCCGACCUGAGAGGGUAAUCGGCCACAUUGGGACUGAGACACGGCCCAAACUCCUACGGGAGGCAGCAGUAGGGAAUCUUCCACAAUGGACGAAAGUCUGAUGGAGCAACGCCGCGUGAGUGAAGAAGGGUUUCGGCUCGUAAAACUCUGUUGUUAAAGAAGAACAUAUCUGAGAGUAACUGUUCAGGUAUUGACGGUAUUUAACCAGAAAGCCACGGCUAACUACGUGCCAGCAGCCGCGGUAAUACGUAGGUGGCAAGCGUUGUCCGGAUUUAUUGGGCGUAAAGCGAGCGCAGGCGGUUUUUUAAGUCUGAUGUGAAAGCCUUCGGCUCAACCGAAGAAGUGCAUCGGAAACUGGGAAACUUGAGUGCAGAAGAGGACAGUGGAACUCCAUGUGUAGCGGUGAAAUGCGUAGAUAUAUGGAAGAACACCAGUGGCGAAGGCGGCUGUCUGGUCUGUAACUGACGCUGAGGCUCGAAAGUAUGGGUAGCAAACAGGAUUAGAUACCCUGGUAGUCCAUACCGUAAACGAUGAAUGCUAAGUGUUGGAGGGUUUCCGCCCUUCAGUGCUGCAGCUAACGCAUUAAGCAUUCCGCCUGGGGAGUACGGCCGCAAGGCUGAAACUCAAAGGAAUUGACGGGGGCCCGCACAAGCGGUGGAGCAUGUGGUUUAAUUCGAAGCUACGCGAAGAACCUUACCAGGUCUUGACAUACUAUGCAAAUCUAAGAGAUUAGACGUUCCCUUCGGGGACAUGGAUACAGGUGGUGCAUGGUUGUCGUCAGCUCGUGUCGUGAGAUGUUGGGUUAAGUCCCGCAACGAGCGCAACCCUUAUUAUCAGUUGCCAGCAUUAAGUUGGGCACUCUGGUGAGACUGCCGGUGACAAACCGGAGGAAGGUGGGGAUGACGUCAAAUCAUCAUGCCCCUUAUGACCUGGGCUACACACGUGCUACAAUGGAUGGUACAACGAGUUGCGAACUCGCGAGAGUAAGCUAAUCUCUUAAAGCCAUUCUCAGUUCGGAUUGUAGGCUGCAACUCGCCUACAUGAAGUCGGAAUCGCUAGUAAUCGCGGAUCAGCAUGCCGCGGUGAAUACGUUCCCGGGCCUUGUACACACCGCCCGUCACACCAUGAGAGUUUGUAACACCCAAAGUCGGUGGGGUAACCUUUUAGGAACCAGCCGCCUAAGGUGGGACAGAUGAUUAGGGUGAAGUCGUAACAAGGUAGCCGUAGGAGAACCUGCGGCUGGAUCACCUCCUUU
RNAcentral lists this ribosomal RNA (1567 nucleotides) under Lactiplantibacillus argentoratensis. Its description in RNAcentral is "16S ribosomal RNA". It matches the Rfam family "Bacterial small subunit ribosomal RNA". The record is from RNAcentral. Lineage: Bacteria; Bacillati; Bacillota; Bacilli; Lactobacillales; Lactobacillaceae.